Solanum tuberosum (potato) is the source of this 1750-nucleotide long non-coding RNA. RefSeq lists it as uncharacterized. NCBI's taxonomy places the organism in Eukaryota, Viridiplantae, Streptophyta, Magnoliopsida, Solanales, Solanaceae. The record is from RefSeq and is a predicted model, not a curated record. The transcript has 4 exons.
AAUUACUCCGCUUGUAUCUUCUUCUACGUUUCUCCCACAUCGAGUUCAGUGAGAAGUUUGCAGUAGAAUAAGAACAGUAGCGAAGCAAUGGAGUUUGUCCCUUCGGGGACAUCUGAUAAAAUUGGAACGAUACAGAGAAGAUUAGCAUGGCCCCUGCGCAAGGAUGACACGCACAAAUCGAGAAAUGGUCCAAAUUUUUUUGCCGGUAUAUUGUGGUUGUGUUUUGACUGUCGUCGGCGCUGAUGCUCCGGUCGGUCGUUUUCCGUGGCAUCUUUCGUAUUUCUACAUUCAAAAAAGUUGGCUCAAUUAUUAUAUUGUGAUUGUGUUUUACUUCCUUCUGUUUGGACUUAAUUUGCAUAUGAAGUUUUAUCAGAAUCCCCAAAUUCAUGUUUUUGCUAACUAGGUUUAGCUAUGUGAUUGACUUACAGUUUAGAUACAAUUUGAAUCUGUUACCUAAAACGUGUGGAUGUCAGGAUUAGGUUAGAAGGUUAGUAGGUAACUGAGUGUUGUCGCACUUUGUUACAUUCCCUUCUAUGUGUAUUACUAUCUGUUGCUUCACUUGAUUUGUAUCUUGUUGUUUUGCUGUCAUAUUUCUUGCUACCAUGCUUCGAUUUCUUUUCUUUUCUGCCAAGCCAUGGGCCUAUCGGGAAACAACCUCUCUAUCCCACAAAGUUAAGGAUAUGGUCUGCGUACAUUCUACUGUACCCAGAACUCACUUGUGGGAUCACAUUGGGUAUGUUGUUGUUGUUGAAUGGAUUCGUUGUGGUAAAUGAUGGAGUAUAAAACUGAAUUGUGUUAUGGGAUUGAAUAUGUUCUUUAAUCUUAUUGCUGAUUCUAACAAAGUACAAAGUAGAAAUAGUAGGCAUCAAGUAUACUGGUAGUGUUAUGGCCCCUUUAUCGCCAUGUCAAUUCCUUUUAUCUUAUUGCAAUCGCAGAGAAAUUGGAAUUUUAAACUCAAAAAAUUCUCAUUAGCAUACUUGCAAACUUGUUAAAGGCAAAGCUAUGUAGAACGGGCCAACAGGGUAGAUACUCAUCUGAUGGCAAUAACUUGUUAAUGUAGGAUACGAUCACUGGAUUUUUACUCGCAGAAGUUGGCAAUGUUGAUUAGAGGAGGAAAACUAAUUGUAUCUUAUAGUCGAUUCAAAAAUAACGGUGAAGCAGAUUGAAGAUGUUUUCAAAGAAUUCACCACAAGUGUCCCCAUAACUCACUUGUGGGAUUACAUUGGAAAUAACGGUGAAGCAAAUUGAAGAUGCUUUCAAAGAAUUCGCCACACGGGAGGACAUUGCGAAUUUGCAAUAGUGUUAAUCAGCCAAUAUAAUGACAAGCAGGCAAUACACAUUUACUCCACGCAACUAUCAAUUAGUGGAACAGGAUGUACAAGACAAUUUGAAUGACCAAUCACCACCAAAUUCUCCAGAUGAUUCUCAAGUAGCAACUGAACUGAUUGAUGAUCAACAGGAGGAUGCUAUAUUAUUCAGAGUAUUUUAAAACAAGAAUUCAUCAUGUUGCUGAUAGAAUGAAUAAUCCCACAGAAACUGAAGAGAUUUGUGCCAAAUGUCAUGCGGAAUUUGAGCAUGAAGAGUCCAUUGGGAUUCUUGGGUGCGGACACGAAUAUCAUACAGGUUGCACAAUGGUUGCUGAGGAAAAACGAUUGUCCCAUGUGUCGAGCUUCUGUUUUUCCCUGAAAACAUAGCAUAUUGAGAUUAUUUUAUGAUAAAAUUCCAUUGUAUUAAACUUAGUAAGACAAUU